Molecule: ribosomal RNA, 849 nt
Filed under: Salmonella enterica
Lineage: Bacteria; Pseudomonadati; Pseudomonadota; Gammaproteobacteria; Enterobacterales; Enterobacteriaceae
Also listed under: 1 other name
Description: partial 23S ribosomal RNA
Rfam family: Bacterial large subunit ribosomal RNA
Source: RNAcentral
UGUUUCGGCUAGGGGGCCAUCCCGGCUUACCAACCCGAUGCAAACUGCGAAUACCGGAGAAUGUUAUCACGGGAGACACACGGCGGGUGCUAACGUCCGUCGUGAAGAGGGAAACAACCCAGACCGCCAGCUAAGGUCCCAAAGUCAUGGUUAAGUGGGAAACGAUGUGGGAAGGCCCAGACAGCCAGGAUGUUGGCUUAGAAGCAGCCAUCAUUUAAAGAAAGCGUAAUAGCUCACUGGUCGAGUCGGCCUGCGCGGAAGAUGUAACGGGGCUAAACCAUGCACCGAAGCUGCGGCAGCGACACUUUAGUGUUGUUGGGUAGGGGAGCGUUCUGUAAGCCGUUGAAGGUGUCCUGUGAGGGGUGCUGGAGGUAUCAGAAGUGCGAAUGCUGACAUAAGUAACGAUAAAGCGGGUGAAAAGCCCGCUCGCCGGAAGACCAAGGGUUCCUGUCCAACGUUAAUCGGGGCAGGGUGAGUCGACCCCUAAGGCGAGGCCGAAAGGCGUAGUCGAUGGGAAACGGGUUAAUAUUCCCGUACUUGGUGUUACUGCGAAGGGGGGACGGAGAAGGCUAUGUUGGCCGGGCGACGGUAGUCCCGGUUUAAGCGUGUAGGUGUGUGUUCCAGGUAAAUCCGGUUCACUUUAACACUGAGGCGUGAUGACGAGGCACCACGGUGCUGAAGCAACAAAUGCCCUGCUUCCAGGAAAAGCCUCUAAGCAUCAGGUAACAUCAAAUCGUACCCCAAACCGACACAGGUGGUCAGGUAGAGAAUACCAAGGCGCUUGAGAGAACUCGGGUGAAGGAACUAGGCAAAAUGGUGCCGUAACUUCGGGAGAAGGCACGCUGACAC